UAGAGUUUGAUCAUGGCUCAGAGUGAACGCUGGCGGCGUGCUUAACACAUGCAAGUCGAACGAGAACGGGUUAUAGUUUACUAUAACUGUCAGCUAAGUGGCGCACGGGUGAGUAAUAUAUAGUUAACCUGCCCUAGAGAAGGGGAUAACGUUUGGAAACGAACGCUAAUACCCUAUAUGCCUUUAAGUCAUAAGACUGCAAGGGAAAUAUUUAUAGCUCUAGGAUGGGACUGUACGGUAUCAGCUAGUUGGUGAGGUAAUGGCUCACCAAGGCAAUGACGCCUAACUGGUUUGAGAGGAUGAUCAGUCACACUGGAACUGAGACACGGUCCAGACUCCUACGGGAGGCAGCAGUGGGGAAUAUUGCACAAUGGAGGAAACUCUGAUGCAGCAACGCCGCGUGGAGGAUGAC
This 412-nucleotide ribosomal RNA is filed under the name uncultured marine bacterium. RNAcentral's name for it is "bacterial SSU rRNA". It matches the Rfam family "Bacterial small subunit ribosomal RNA", at positions 1 to 412 of the family's 1533-position model. The record is from RNAcentral.